This 497-nucleotide ribosomal RNA is filed under the name Clostridioides difficile. Its description in RNAcentral is "partial 23S ribosomal RNA". It matches the Rfam family "Bacterial large subunit ribosomal RNA", at positions 613 to 1109 of the family's 2925-position model. Lineage: Bacteria; Bacillati; Bacillota; Clostridia; Peptostreptococcales; Peptostreptococcaceae. The record is from RNAcentral.
GAACGGGCCAACGAGUUACGUUAAGUAGCAAGGUUAAGCACUUAAGGUGUGGAGCCGUAGCGAAAGCGAGUUUUAACUGAGCGUUCAGUGACUUGACGUAGACCCGAAACCGGGCGACCUACCCAUGAGCAGGAUGAAGCGAAAGUAAAAUUUCGUGGAGGUCCGAACCCACGAGCGUUGAAAAGCUCGGGGAUGACUUGUGGGUAGCGGUGAAAUUCCAGUCGAGCCCGGAGAUAGCUGGUUCUCCCCGAAAUAGCUUUAGGGCUAGCCUCAAGGUGAGAGAUACGGAGGUAGAGCACUGAAUGUCCUAGGGGGUAUUGCACCUACCGAAGACUAUCAAACUCCGAAUGCCGUCAUCUUAUACUUGGGAGUCAGACUGUGGGUGAUAAGAUUCAUAGUCGAAAGGGCAACAGCCCAGAUCGUCAGCUAAGGUCCCUAAAUGUAAGUUAAGUGGUAAAGGAUGUGGGAUUGCACAGACAACCAGGAUGUUGGCUUAG